Molecule: long non-coding RNA, 623 nt
Organism: Talpa occidentalis (Iberian mole)
Lineage: Eukaryota; Metazoa; Chordata; Mammalia; Eulipotyphla; Talpidae
Exons: 6
Source: RefSeq, a predicted model, not a curated record
CCAAAUUUGAAACACCAGUGACUUCAGAGAGGAAAUAAGUUGCGUGUUUGUAUGUAUGCAUGUAUGCACACAAGUGUAAGCUACCCAGCUCUUACAUGGAAAGACCAAAGAAAAUACCAAAUAAUAUUUGCAACCAGGGAAAAGACUACCCAAAUUUACUUUAAUCUUUGAACAAACCAAGACAUGCUGACAAACCAAUGAAGAGAACAUAGCCAAGAAUACCAAUCAGGAGGCCAGUCAGCAGCCUUAUGAGAUGGCGGGACCCAAAGCAGUUGGCUCAUGCAGAGGGUGAAAAACGCAUUCUUGAAAGAGAGGAAGCUGGGAAGUAAAUCCAACACAGACGUGGAUGUUAAUAAAUAAACAGCAAACAAAUUUCACUGGCGCUGGUGUGAGCCCCGGGCCUGACUUCCACUUUCUGGUCCCGUCAGAGGGUGUCAGAGCAUUAGCCCCACCAAAUGGUCAUCAUCCACCCUGGAUUCGAGGAUUCAUUUUCAAGGCAAACCACCAAGACAGCUAUUUAUCAUCAUGGAGACUCAAAGAAAUCCAGAAAACAGACAAGUGCCAGACCUAUGCGUGUUUAUGGGGAGCAGUGCCCAGAGAAGGUUACCCCAACAGUAAAUAAG